GGGUUCUGAGAGGAAGGUCCCCCACAUUGGAACUGAGACACGGUCCAAACUCCUACGGGAGGCAGCAGUGAGGAAUAUUGGUCAAUGGGCGCAAGCCUGAACCAGCCAAGUAGCGUGAGGGAAGACUGCCCUACGGGUUGUAAACCUCCUUUGUUUGGGAAUAAAGUGCGGGACGCGUCCUGCAUUGCAUGUACCAUUUGAAUAAGGACCGGCUAAUUCCGUGCCAGCAGCCGCGGUAAUACGGAAGGUCCGGGCGUUAUCCGGAUUUAUUGGGUUUAAAGGGAGCGCACGCCGUGGGUUAAGCGUGUCGUGAAAUUCCGUCGCUCAACGGCGGACGUGCGGCGCGAACUGGUCCACUUGAGUACGCGGGACGUUGGCGGAAUUCGUGGUGUAGCGGUGAAAUGCUUAGAUAUCACGAAGAACUCCGAUUGCGAAGGCAGCUGACGGUAGCGCAACUGACGCUGAGGCUCGAAAGUGCGGGUAUCGAACAGGAUUAGAUACCCUGGUAGUCCGCACGGUAAACGAUGGAUGCCCGCUAUUCGCCCAUCUGGGCGAGUGGCCAAGCGAAAGCGUUAAGCAUCCCACCUGGGGAGUACGCCGGCAACGGUGAAACUCAAAGGAAUUGACGGGGGCCCGCACAAGCGGAGGAACAUGUGGUUUAAUUCGAUGAUACGCGAGGAACCUUACCCGGGCUUGAAUUGCAGAGGAAGGAUUUAGAGAUAAUGACGCCCUUCGGGGCCUCUGUGAAGGUGCUGCAUGGUUGUCGUCAGCUCGUGCCGUGAGGUGUCGGCUUAAGUGCCAUAACGAGCGCAACCCCUCUCCGUAGUUGCCAUCGGGUGAUGCCGGGCACUCUGCGGACACUGCCACCGUAAGGUGUGAGGAAGGUGGGGAUGACGUCAAAUCAGCACGGCCCUUACGUCCGGGGCUACACACGUGUUACAAUGGGGCAUACAGAGCGCCGGCGGCCGGCAACGUCCGUCCAAUCGCUAAAGUGUCCCCCAGUUCGGACUGGGGUCUGCAACCCGACCCCACGAAGCUGGAUUCGCUAGUAAUCGCGCAUCAGCCAUGGCGCGGUGAAUACGUUCCCGGGCCUUGUACACACCGCCCGUCAAGCCAUGAAAGCCGGGGGCGCCUGAAGUCCGUGACCGCAAGGGUCGGCCUAGGGCGAAACCGGUGAUUGGGGCUAAGUCGUAACAAGGUA
RNAcentral lists this ribosomal RNA (1201 nucleotides) under metagenome. RNAcentral's name for it is "bacterial SSU rRNA". It matches the Rfam family "Bacterial small subunit ribosomal RNA", at positions 287 to 1498 of the family's 1533-position model. The record is from RNAcentral.